RNAcentral lists this long non-coding RNA (354 nucleotides) under Glycine max (soybean). RNAcentral's name for it is "long non-coding RNA (GMAX_LNC003906)". Lineage: Eukaryota; Viridiplantae; Streptophyta; Magnoliopsida; Fabales; Fabaceae. The record is from RNAcentral.
CCCGCCCAAGCACCUUCCACAGUACCGAAAUCACCAGCUCCCGUUGCUUCUCCCAAAUCAUCUCCACCAGCUGCAACCCCUGCAUCUACUCCGGCGGCAUCUCCCACCACCACCCCCGCCGCGCCUGCUCCGGUGACCAAGCCACCUGCAGCCUCUCCUCCUCCGGCGACUCCUCCACCGGCAACUCCUCCUCCGGCGCCGGUUCCCGUGAGCUCUCCCCCCGCUCCCGUGCCGGUGAGUUCUCCACCCGCUCCUGUUCCGGUGGCGGCGCCAACCACCCCUGUGGCUCCCUCUCCGGCUCCGAAGCAUAAGAAGAAGGGCAAGAAGCACGGUGCUCCGGCUCCUUCACCGUUG